GAACCAGAAAGACAUGAUUGUAACCAAAUUUAGCAAGCAACCAAAAAUGAAAAUACAACCCAUAUUUUAAAAUCCAUUUCAACAGCUCCACCCCACUGAAGGGAAGAUCUUUCUGGGCCAUGUGGGUGAGGGAUGAGCAGCAGAAGCAAGUGGAAAGGACAGCUACCAUGUCAUGGGCUUGGGGACAGAAGAGAGACAACACCAGAUUUUCAUGAAGAAAAACCAAGAUCCUCCUUGUUGCUUCUGAUGCUACUGUGGCCCGCAGGCUGUCUCUGGGACCGAGCCACUAGGAGACUUUGCUCAGCUUUCACUCUCCCUGCCUCAGCGAGCAUACCCUGGUGUCCCAGGGAUUCUGUGUCCCCACCUUGUUUCAUGUAAUCCUGCCAAGCCUCAGAGGUUGGUACCAGCAAAGUCAUUAUUUCACAAGGGAGGAAACUGAGGAUCAGAAGAGUUGAGCGAGUUGCCCAAAGUCGAAGUAUGAACCUCUGCUAAUCCCAACUUCUUUUCAAUAUAUCAUUUAAAAAAAAGUCACACUUGUUCCUUG
RNAcentral lists this long non-coding RNA (544 nucleotides) under Fukomys damarensis (Damara mole-rat). RNAcentral describes it as "lncRNA (ENSFDAG00000029707.1)". Lineage: Eukaryota; Metazoa; Chordata; Mammalia; Rodentia; Bathyergidae. The record is from RNAcentral.